This 19-nucleotide non-coding RNA is filed under the name Arabidopsis thaliana (thale cress). The record is from RNAcentral. Lineage: Eukaryota; Viridiplantae; Streptophyta; Magnoliopsida; Brassicales; Brassicaceae.
UUGAAAGUGUUCUCGUCAA